UGGAACAAGGAUCUGCCUAUUUCUAUGGAU
Molecule: non-coding RNA, 30 nt
Filed under: Mus musculus (house mouse)
Lineage: Eukaryota; Metazoa; Chordata; Mammalia; Rodentia; Muridae
Source: RNAcentral